CAACGCCUACGGGGGGCAGCAGUGGGGAAUAUUGCACAAUGGGGGAAACCCUGAUGCAGCAACGCCGCGUGAGUGAAGAAGUAUUUCGGUAUGUAAAGCUCUAUCAGCAGGGAAGAAAAAAGACGGUACCUGACUAAGAAGCCCUGGCUAACUACGUGCCAGCAGCCGCGGUAAUACGUAGGGGGCAAGCGUUAUCCGGAUUUACUGGGUGUAAAGGGAGCGUAGACGGCAUUGCAAGUCUGAUGUGAAAGAUUGGGGCUCAACCCCAGGCCUGCAUUGGAAACUGUAAAGCUUGAGUACAGGAG
Molecule: ribosomal RNA, 305 nt
Filed under: uncultured bacterium
Lineage: Bacteria
Description: bacterial SSU rRNA
Rfam family: Bacterial small subunit ribosomal RNA
Source: RNAcentral